This 469-nucleotide ribosomal RNA is filed under the name uncultured bacterium. Its description in RNAcentral is "partial 16S ribosomal RNA". It matches the Rfam family "Bacterial small subunit ribosomal RNA", at positions 28 to 507 of the family's 1533-position model. The record is from RNAcentral.
GACGAACGCUGGCGGCGUGCUUAACACAUGCAAGUCGAACGGAAAGGCCCUGCUUGCAGGGUGCUCGAGUGGCGAACGGGUGAGUAACACGUGGGUGAUCUGCCCCUUACUUUGGGAUAAGCCCGGGAAACUGGGUCUAAUACUGGAUAGGACCAUGCUGUAGGUGGUGUGGUGGAAAGAUUAGUUUCGGUAAGGGAUGAGCUCGCGGCCUAUCAGCUUGUUGGUGGGGUAAUGGCCUACCAAGGCGUCGACGGGUAGCCGGCCUGAGAGGGUGGACGGCCACAUUGGGACUGAGAUACGGCCCAGACUCCUACGGGAGGCAGCAGUGGGGAAUAUUGCACAAUGGGCGCAAGCCUGAUGCAGCGACGCCGCGUGGGGGAUGACGGCCUUCGGGUUGUAAACUCCUUGCAGCCAUGACGAAGCCCUUGUGGUGACGGUAGUGGUAGAAGAAGCACCGGCUAACUACGUG